RNAcentral lists this ribosomal RNA (296 nucleotides) under uncultured microorganism. Its description in RNAcentral is "partial 16S ribosomal RNA". It matches the Rfam family "Bacterial small subunit ribosomal RNA", at positions 505 to 796 of the family's 1533-position model. The record is from RNAcentral.
GUGCCAGCAGCCGCGGUAAUACGUAGGUGGCAAGCGUUGUCCGGAUUUAUUGGGCUGUAAAGCGAGCGCAGGCGGUUUCUUAAGUCUGAUGUGAAAGCCCCCGGCUCAACCGGGGAGGGUCAUUGGAAACUGGGAGACUUGAGUGCAGAAGAGGAGAGUGGAAUUCCAUGUGUAGCGGUGAAAUGCGUAUGAUAUAUUGGAAGGAACACCAGUGGCGAAGGCGACUCUCUGGUCUGUAACUGACGCUGAGGCUCGAAAGCGUGGGGAGCAAACAGGAUUAGAUACCCUGGUAGUCC